This 2415-nucleotide ribosomal RNA is filed under the name Corynebacterium ihumii. RNAcentral's name for it is "bacterial LSU rRNA". It matches the Rfam family "Bacterial large subunit ribosomal RNA", at positions 625 to 2925 of the family's 2925-position model. Lineage: Bacteria; Bacillati; Actinomycetota; Actinomycetes; Mycobacteriales; Corynebacteriaceae. The record is from RNAcentral.
GAGUCAGCGGCAUGUCGCGAGGUUAACCCGUGUGUGUGGGGUAGUCGUAGCGAAAGCGAAUCCGAAUAGGGUGGCAAGUGGCAUGUCCUGGACCCGAAGCGGGGUGAUCUACCCAUGGCCAGUGUGAAGCAGCUGUAAGAGGUUGUGGAGGCGCGAACCCACUUAGGUUGAAAACUGAGGGGAUGAGCUGUGGGUAGGGGUGAAAGGCCAAUCAAACUCCGUGAUAGCUGGUUCUCCCCGAAAUGCAUUUAGGUGCAGCGUGAUGUGAGCUUGCCGGAGGUAGAGCUACUGGUUGGUUGAGCGGGACUAUCAUCUUAGCGACGUCAGCCAAACUCCGAAUACCGGUUAUAGUGGUGCAUUGCAGUGAGACUGUGGGGGAUAAGCUUCAUAGUCGAGAGGGAAACAGCCCAGAUCGCCGGUUAAGGCCCCUAAGGGUGUGCUAAGUGGAAAAGGAUGUGGGAUCGCGAAGACAGCCAGGAGGUUGGCUUAGAAGCAGCCAUCCUUGAAAGAGUGCGUAAUAGCUCACUGGUCGAGUGGUUCCGCGCCGACAAUUCAGUGGGGCUCAAGUACACCGCCGAAGCCGCGGCAAACAAUUUUGUUGUUUGGGUAGGGGAGCGUCGUGUGUGGGGUGAAGCCGUAUCGGAAGGAGCGGUGGACUGCAUGCGAGUGAGAAUGCAGGCAUGAGUAACGAAUGGCAAGUGAGAAUCUUGCCCGCCGGAUGACUAAGGGUUCCUGGGUCAAGUUCGUCUUCCCAGGGUGAGUCGGGUCCUAAGGCGAGGCCGACAGGCGUAGUCGAUGGUCAACGGGUUGAUAUUCCCGUACCCGUAUGUGCGCGCCCAGUAUCGAAGCGGUGAGACUAACCACCCUGAUCUGCCGAUCGUUGCCAUCCCUUCGGGGAUGGUUGGUUGGUGGUGAUGCGUGGGGCCUGAUCCGUGGUAGGUCAGUGAUGGGGUGACGCAGUGAGGUAGCUAAGCCGCUUAUUGGAUUGCGGUGCAAGCGUGUGGCACGACAACAUUGGUCAAAUCCGGUUGUCAUCAAGUGUGAGGCGUGAUGCGUAGCCCAUAUGUGGGUGAUGUUGGUGAUCCUGUACUGCCGAGAAAAGCCUCUAGCGAUGUGCAUGUACGGCCCGUACCCAUAACCGACACAGGUGGUCAGGUAGAAAAUACUAAGGCGAGCGGGUGAACUGUGGUUAAGGAACUCGGCAAAAUGCCCCCGUAACUUCGGGAGAAGGGGGACCACAACCGGUGACACACAUUCGUGUUGAGCUGGUUGGGGUCGCAGAGAAGAGAGGGGAGCGACUGUUUAUCAAAAACACAGGUCCGUGCGAAGACGGUUAAGUUGAUGUAUACGGACUGACGCCUGCCCGGUGCUGGAAGGUUAAGAGGACCCGUUAGGACAUUGUGUCCGAAGCGGAGAAUUUAAGCCCCAGUAAACGGCGGUGGUAACUAUAACCAUCCUAAGGUAGCGAAAUUCCUUGUCGGGUAAGUUCCGACCUGCACGAAUGGCGUAACGACUCCCCUGCUGUCUCAACCACAGGCCCGGUGAAAUUGCAGUACGAGUAAAGAUGCUCGUUUCGCGCGGCAGGACGAAAAGACCCCGGGACCUUCACUAUAGCUUGGUAUUGGCAUUCGGUGCGGUUUGUGUAGGAUAGGUGGGAGACUUCGAAGCAUGCACGCCAGUGUGUGUGGAGUCGUUGUUGAAAUACCACUCUGACCGUAGUGGAUAUCUAACCUUGGCCCAUGAUCUGGGUUGGGGACAGUGCCUGGUGGGUAGUUUAACUGGGGCGGUUGCCUCCCAAAAUGUAACGGAGGCGCCCAAAGGUUCCCUCAGCCUGGUUGGCAAUCAGGUGUGUAGAGUGUAAGUGCACAAGGGAGCUUGACUGCGAGACUUACAAGUCGAGCAGGGACGAAAGUCGGGACUAGUGAUCCGGCACCUACUUGUGGAUGUGGUGUCGCUCAACGGAUAAAAGGUACCCCGGGGAUAACAGGCUGAUCUUCCCCAAGAGUCCAUAUCGACGGGAUGGUUUGGCACCUCGAUGUCGGCUCGUCGCAUCCUGGGGCUGGAGUAGGUCCCAAGGGUUGGGCUGUUCGCCCAUUAAAGCGGCACGCGAGCUGGGUUCAGAACGUCGUGAGACAGUUCGGUCUCUAUCCGCCGCGCGCGUUGAAACUUGAAGAAGGCUGUCCCUAGUACGAGAGGACCGGGACGGACGUACCUCUAGUGUGCCAGUUGUUCCGCCAGGAGCACGGCUGGUUGGCUACGUACGGGAGGGAUAACCGCUGAAAGCAUCUAAGCGGGAAGCCUGUUUUAAGAUGAGGUUUCAUUUGAGGUUCCCAGGAGACUACUGGGUUGAUAGGCCGGACCUGGAAGCACAGCAAUGUGUGGAGGCGACCGGUACUAAUACACCAAUAAACACCA